Molecule: long non-coding RNA, 508 nt
Organism: Triticum dicoccoides
Lineage: Eukaryota; Viridiplantae; Streptophyta; Magnoliopsida; Poales; Poaceae
Exons: 3
Source: RefSeq, a predicted model, not a curated record
GCCCAAGGUGUUCCUGACCGCUUUCUUCUCCCUGUCUUUUUAAAAGUUUGUUUCUUACCUUAUGGACAUGAUAGAAUCUCUGUAGGUGUAGCCGGAGGUGUUCCUGACCGCUUUCUUCUCCUCGUCCGAAGCCCCAUCAUAUGGGCACUCCUACCCCACUGUCUCUCACGGAAUUGCUCGCCGUAGUAACCCGCUGCCGCCGCCGUUCGUGCAAGAUCCGGGCAAGCCCAAGAAUCUCUGUAGGUGUAGCCGGAGCGUGCCAUCUCCAUCGCCAAGUUCCGGUCGGAGCUCUGUUCAACUCCGGCGGCCUUCCGCCACUGCCACGUGAAGAGGCCGAGGUCAGGGCCUUGUCCUGCGAACUCCCACCGACCUCCUCUACGCCAAUCAGUUGUUCGUUGACGCCAGAGACCAUCGUCUCCAACUCCAGCGAAACUCCGGCGACACUCCGAUAUAUCAUAACGAGAAGAAGAGGCAACUCGAAGUAGAAUAUUUCCUCUUCGAGAACUCA